GAUGAACGCUGGCGGCGUGCCUAAUACAUGCAAGUCGAGCGAACGGACGAGAAGCUUGCUCCUCUGAUGUUAGCGGCGGACGGGUGAGUAACACGUGGAUAACCUACCUAUAAGACUGGGAUAACUUCGGGAAACCGUAGCUAAUACCGGAUAAUAUUUUGAACCGCAUGGUUCAAUAGUGAAAGACGGUUUUGCUGUCACUUAUAGAUGGAUCCGCGCUGCAUUAGCUAGUUGGUAAGGUAACGGCUUACCAAGGCAACGAUGCGUAGCCGACCUGAGAGGGUGAUCGGCCACACUGGAACUGAGACACGGUCCAGACUCCUACGGGAGGCAGCAGUAGGGAAUCUUCCGCAAUGGGCGAAAGCCUGACGGAGCAACGCCGCGUGAGUGAUGAAGGUCUUCGGAUCGUAAAACUCUGUUAUUAGGGAAGAACAUAUGUGUAAGUAACUGUGCACGUCUUGACGGUACCUAAUCAGAAAGCCACGGCUAACUACGUG
This 497-nucleotide ribosomal RNA is filed under the name uncultured bacterium. Its description in RNAcentral is "partial 16S ribosomal RNA". It matches the Rfam family "Bacterial small subunit ribosomal RNA", at positions 28 to 507 of the family's 1533-position model. The record is from RNAcentral.